GCGGACGUAGCUCAGCUGGUAGAGCGCCGGUUUGUGGUACCGGUGGUCGCGGGUUCAAGUCCCGUCGUUCGCCCCA
Molecule: transfer RNA, 76 nt
Filed under: Acetobacter pasteurianus
Lineage: Bacteria; Pseudomonadati; Pseudomonadota; Alphaproteobacteria; Acetobacterales; Acetobacteraceae
Also listed under: 31 other names
Description: tRNA-His(gtg)
Rfam family: tRNA
About the family: Transfer RNA (tRNA) molecules are approximately 80 nucleotides in length. Their secondary structure includes four short double-helical elements and three loops (D, anti-codon, and T loops).
Source: RNAcentral